UGACCCCUAACAAGGAAAUCAUCGGAUACCCUCAGGAAAAUGGUAAAUUAGAAGCGACAAUCUGUGGCAGGCCUAAAUUAUAAUCCUUCGAUGGUUCAAGAAACUUCAGAACCAAAACAACAUGUUCGCAGGAAACAGGAAGGCAAGAGAAUGAAUAAAGACGUUCGAAGAUACCUUACUUGUGUUUAUGGCAGAUAACAAGUUAAGAACAGAAAAUAGAGCGGAAUACAGUUACCAUCAUGCCGCAAAGUUGUUAUCCAAAGGGAUGGAUAUUCUGUACAGUAUCCCUGUAUCAAUACUAUUCAAGUGAAAACAGAAAAGGCAACUGUUUUUUAUUUAUGAACACUGAGGGUUUCCUGGUGUAAAGUCUUCUGGUGUGUCCCUCCGUCUCCGUCGUCAGCCAGUACAUAUCUUAAUUAACGCUGUUUUUAU
This is a long non-coding RNA of Actinia tenebrosa (Australian red waratah sea anemone), 432 nucleotides long. Lineage: Eukaryota; Metazoa; Cnidaria; Anthozoa; Actiniaria; Actiniidae. The record is from RefSeq and is a predicted model, not a curated record.